RNAcentral lists this transfer RNA (73 nucleotides) under Bos taurus (domestic cattle). It matches the Rfam family "tRNA". From Rfam's summary of the family: Transfer RNA (tRNA) molecules are approximately 80 nucleotides in length. Lineage: Eukaryota; Metazoa; Chordata; Mammalia; Artiodactyla; Bovidae. The record is from Rfam by way of RNAcentral. RNAcentral also lists the same sequence under 4 other names.
UCCCUGGAGGUCCAGUGGUUAAGACUCUGCACUCACAACGCAGAGGGCGUGGUUUCAAUCCCUGAUCAGGGAA